UGUCCCUCAAUCAGAUUGACUCAUUUAUUUGACAUUUAAUGUUACAUUUUUAUAAUAUAUUUUGAUUGGUUGAUAUCUUGAAAGGAUAAAUACCCCGUAAACAAGAGAAAGUAAUCUAGACCUCAACCCUAAAUUUAGAUGGGUUUUGUGUUUGAGUUUGAGUUAAUGCAAUAUUAACUAAAUAGAACAAAUAUAUCCAUUUAUUGAUUUCAUCACAUAAUUUAACACACACUUUUCAAACAGCCCUGAACAAACAUUACACCUAAUACCAUUACAAACAUCACAUAGAAGCCAACAUGCAUAUGCAACAAUAUGCCAUUACAAACAUCACAUUAAUCAAUUAUAAAGAUGAACACUUAAGCCAACCCAAUGCAAUAAGCCAUUAACUUAUUUGUUACAUUCAUUACGACUUAUAUAGCUAUCUUUGCCUUGGCAAGAUGAUUAUCAAUAUCUCGAGCACAUUUGCCAAAGUAUUCCAUGUAGCCAUUUGGAG
RNAcentral lists this long non-coding RNA (493 nucleotides) under Medicago truncatula (barrel medic). RNAcentral's name for it is "long non-coding RNA (MTRU_LNC006163)". Lineage: Eukaryota; Viridiplantae; Streptophyta; Magnoliopsida; Fabales; Fabaceae. The record is from RNAcentral.